Molecule: long non-coding RNA, 785 nt
Organism: Hemicordylus capensis (graceful crag lizard)
Lineage: Eukaryota; Metazoa; Chordata; Lepidosauria; Squamata; Cordylidae
Exons: 4
Source: RefSeq, a predicted model, not a curated record
AGUAUCAUGAAAUAAGAUGACAGCGCUGGAAAUCUAACCCUUUUUAAAUUCUUCCGUUAAUUUCACUGCAUGCCUUUUUACUCUCUCUUUUUUCCUAAGGUCGCUUUAGGAUGCUGGACUGGAAUGUCACUCACUGACACACUCAAGAGCUGUCAACACACCUCUAUUCACUGAUGAGAGCGCCUUCAGCUGGCCUCAAUAAAACCCUUCCAUUUCCUAGAGUCUCGGGCUCUGCAGUUCUCUAAUAUUAAACAGCCAUUUCAGGUCCAUUUAAAAGGAGGAGAGAAAGGAAAGGGAGUGGGGGGUGGCUGUUUCUGAGCAACAGGAAUUCAGCUAUGACUUGUCAGAAUUCAUUUCAGCUGUGACCAUUUACAGCCUUCAGAUCCAAAUUGCUUUCCAUCAUUUUGGCUGAAGCAGGAUUUGUAUGCCUAUCCCAGACGUAAAGACACUGAGUCCUCCCAAGGACCUGGGAUGCCAGAAUUUUGUUAGCAAUAUUGUUGUUGUUAAGGGAGAAGAGCCAGUUCUGCAGGAGUGAGCAUUGACCCAUUUGCUAGACAGAGUUCACUUUAGCUGGCCUGAAAAUAAAAGAAGCAAGGAAACCAACCAGCCUCAAAACAGUCAAGGGAGUUUUUUGUGGUCCAUUGGCAACCCUAAACCCCACAACUGGCUGGAAGAGGGAGGUGUACAAGUCUCCAGUGCAUCCCUAGCAAUAUGUAAUGGAGUCUCGUUUUUAAGGUGUGAUAUUUUAUAACUCUUUAAUUGUAAUUAAAAUGUGUACUUUUUUG